GGAGAGGUGCCAGAGUGGUUGAAUGGGACAGUCUCGAAAACUGUUGGGGGCGCAAGUCUCUCGAGAGUUCGAAUCUCUCCCUCUCCG
RNAcentral lists this transfer RNA (87 nucleotides) under Candidatus Omnitrophota bacterium. RNAcentral's name for it is "tRNA-Ser". It matches the Rfam family "tRNA". Rfam says of the family: Transfer RNA (tRNA) molecules are approximately 80 nucleotides in length. Their secondary structure includes four short double-helical elements and three loops (D, anti-codon, and T loops). The record is from RNAcentral. Lineage: Bacteria; Pseudomonadati; Candidatus Omnitrophota.